UUCUCUUUUCUUCGGCCGGAUUGAUUACCAAGAUAAAGCUAAGCAAAAAGGGGAUAAAAAUCUCGAAGUUAUUUGGCGGGCCUCCAAGCGUCUUGGUUCAUCUUCACAGAUUUUUGCAAGUGCUUUUCCACAAGAAUAUGCACCUCCACCUGGUGAUUUCAACUUUGAAGUCAACAAUGAUUCCUCAAUCGUACCAUUCAAGACCAGGUCAAAUCUAUUGGCGUUGAUCUUGACGGGGUCCGCAAGGAUCAUCAAGCUAUCAAGGCCAAACUUAAGAUACUCGAGACUGAAAAGGAGGCCAUAAACAAUGUGAUUGCUUCUUUAGAGGAGGAAUUGUGUGUAGUGAUCGAGAAAAAGGAUAAGGCCUAUCACAAAAUUAGUGAGCUGAGGAAUAAACGUGAAGAAGAGAAUACUUGCUUUUACCAAAACCGCUCCCUCUUGAACGAUGCAAGAAGGCUGGCUGCAAGUAAGGACGUUAAUGCCCUUAUAGAGCUUUCAACCUCAGAGGUUUGUUAAACACUCCAGUUGUCUGAUUUCUAAAUUUUAUUAAUAUUGGGAAGCACAUUAAACGCUUAUAUUCGC
This is a long non-coding RNA of Helianthus annuus (common sunflower), 582 nucleotides long. RefSeq lists it as uncharacterized. The record is from RefSeq and is a predicted model, not a curated record. The transcript has 4 exons. NCBI's taxonomy places the organism in Eukaryota, Viridiplantae, Streptophyta, Magnoliopsida, Asterales, Asteraceae.